RNAcentral lists this ribosomal RNA (486 nucleotides) under uncultured bacterium. RNAcentral describes it as "partial 16S ribosomal RNA". It matches the Rfam family "Bacterial small subunit ribosomal RNA", at positions 28 to 507 of the family's 1533-position model. The record is from RNAcentral.
GAUGAACGCUGGCGGCGUGCCUAAUACAUGCAAGUCGAACGCUGGAAAUCUAGCUUGCUAGAUUGAAGGAGUGGCGAACGGGUGAGUAAUACAUAAGCAACCUACCCACGAAGACUGGGAUAAUCUCUGGAAACGGGGACUAGUACCGGAUAGGUAAUCGGAAGGCAUCUUCUGAUUAUUAAAGGUUAAAAACACUGGUGGAUGGGCUUAUGGCGCAUUAGUUAGUUGGUGAGGUAACGGCCCACCAAGACGAUGAUGCGUAGCCGGCCUGAGAGGGUGAACGGCCACAUUGGGACUGAGACACGGCCCAGACUCCUACGGGAGGCAGCAGUAGGGAAUUUUCGGCAAUGGGGGAAACCCUGACCGAGCAACGCCGCGUGAGUGAUGACGGCCUUCGGGUUGUAAAGCUCUGUUGUAAGGGAAGAACGGUAGAUAGAGAAUAUCUAAAUGACGGUACCUUACCAGAAAGCCACGGCUAACUACGUG